GCAUAACGCGAAGAACCUUACCUAGACUUGACAUCUCCUGAAUUACUCGUAACUGAGGAAGCCCUUCGGGGCAGGAAGACAGGUGGUGCAUGGUUGUCGUCAGCUCGUGUCGUGAGAUGUUGGGUUAAGUCCCGCAACGAGCGCAACCCUUGUCGUUAGUUGCUACCAUUAAGUUGAGCACUCUAGCGAGACUGCCGCGGUUAACGCGGAGGAAGGUGGGGAUGACGUCAAAUCAUCAUGCCCCUUAUGUCUAGGGCUACACACGUGCUACAAUGGUGAGUACAACAAGAACCGAAACCGCGAGGUGGAGGAAAACUGAAAACUCAUCCCAGUUCGGAUUGUAGGCUGCAACUCGCCUACAUGAAGCCGGAGUUGCUAGUAAUCGCAAAUCAGAAUGUUGCGGUGAAUACGUUCCCGGGUCUUGUACACACCG
This 433-nucleotide ribosomal RNA is filed under the name uncultured bacterium. Its description in RNAcentral is "bacterial SSU rRNA". It matches the Rfam family "Bacterial small subunit ribosomal RNA", at positions 954 to 1392 of the family's 1533-position model. The record is from RNAcentral.